RNAcentral lists this ribosomal RNA (466 nucleotides) under uncultured bacterium. Its description in RNAcentral is "partial 16S ribosomal RNA". It matches the Rfam family "Bacterial small subunit ribosomal RNA", at positions 28 to 507 of the family's 1533-position model. The record is from RNAcentral.
GAUGAACGCUGGCGGCGUGCUUAACACAUGCAAGUCGAACGGAAAGGCCCAAGCUUGCUUGGGUACUCGAGUGGCGAACGGGUGAGUAACACGUGGGUGAUCUGCCCUGCACUUCGGGAUAAGCCUGGGAAACUGGGUCUAAUACCGGAUAGGACCACAUGUUGGAUGGUGGGGUGGAAAGAUUUUCGGUGUGGGGUGAGCUCGCGGCCUUUCAGCUUGUUGGUGGGGUAAUGGGCUACCAAGGCGUCGACGGGUAGGCGGCCCGGGGGGGUGUACGGCCACCUUGGGGCUGGGGUACGGGCCCGGCUCCUACGGGGAGGCGGCGGGGGGAAUUUUGCAACAUGGGGGCGAGCCUGGUGCAAGGACGCCGGGUGGGGGGUGGCCGGCUUCCGGUUGGAAACCCGUUUCGCUAUGGACGGAGCGUUGUGUGACGGUACCUGGUGAAGAAGCACCGGCUAACUACGUG